Molecule: long non-coding RNA, 3921 nt
Filed under: Solanum lycopersicum (tomato)
Lineage: Eukaryota; Viridiplantae; Streptophyta; Magnoliopsida; Solanales; Solanaceae
Description: long non-coding RNA (SLYC_LNC000946)
Source: RNAcentral
AGGGUAAGAAGGGGUAGAGAAAAUGCCUCGAGCCAAUGUUCGAAUACCAGGCGCUACGGCGCUGAAGUAACCCAUGCCAUACUCCCAGGAAAAGCUCGAACGACGUUAAGCAAGAGGGUACCUGUACCCGAAACCGACACAGGUGGGUAGGUAGAGAAUACCUAGGGGCGCGAGACAACUCUCUCUAAGGAACUCGGCAAAAUAGCCCCGUAACUUCGGGAGAAGGGGUGCCUCCACCCACCCUAUUUGUUCCAUGAUCUAUGGGUCUACUGGAGCUACCCACUUCGAUCAAUUAGCCAAGAUUUUGACCGGAUACGAAAUCACUGGUGCUCGAUCUAGUGGUAUUUUUAUGGGGAUUCUAUUUAUCGCUGUAGGAUCCCUAUUCAUGAUGAGCUUGAGUCGAGUCACAAAAAAGGGUAUGAUGAGCUUGAGUCGAUUAUUUCCAAGAUCGAAUUCCAGUUUUUUCUUAUGUAGUGGAAACGCCCUACAAUCUGAAGUUUUAAUGGACCGUUUGUGCCAGAGCUAGACAUCCUUGGCUCUUGAAAAGGGUCCUUCCUUAAGGACCAUUGGUUGGUCUUUGGGGAUGUUUUCCCCUAAAAUUUCCCACCCAAUUAUAUUUCUAUAAAAUUUUAGGACCUCUCACAUGAAUUUCAUCAAAAACGAACAUAUAAAGCCCGAUGAAACAUGCAUAGAUACACAAGGUCGUUUCAAGGAAAAAAAUUCUAAUGUCAUGGACGUUCUUAGAUGUCUGACCUCAAAAAAUCAAGAAACUUGAAAAAUGGCCUUUAAACACUAUAAUAAAACAUAUCAAGACCUAAUUAAAUCAUAAAACACACAUAUAUGAAGAUAACCAUAGAAGAGGAACAUAGGUGACUUAGUCGUCGAAUGUCAUAGCCGUCCCUUAACAUUUCACUUCCAAAUCACCUAAAACUCUUGACAUUGAUUCAAUACCAUAUUAUAAACAAUUGUACGACCUUAUACACUUAUAAAAACUAUGUUUGUCUCAAUAUUAACCUAAGUAAUUUGAGGGGUGUUAUAUUCUCCUCUACAUGGACAAUAUUCAUCCUCAAAUGACACUUUGCCACUGUCCGAACAAUUCUAAGAAUAAAGAUUCAAAUUAACAGAUCAUAACCAUACCAUAUAAUAUCUCAUAAAAAUACAAACAUCAAAUAAAUUCUAAAACUCACUAUGGUAUAAAACUCACAUCCUUCAUUCCAAAUAGUAAAAACUUAUUUUAUAUUCAAUAUCAUUCUAAUAUACAUCAUUUAUAACCAUAUGUUCAAAAAUCUCACAGUGAACUGGCAGUACAAUACAGAAAAUUAAGCAAUUUUUCAAAUAAUACUACUUUUAGGGAAUUGAUGAUUGAACCAUGCUAAUAUGCUACAUAGAACCACAUAAACACAUAUUACAACAUAAUAAUAACUUCAUGGAAUGCACAAUGAAAGGAAUCGAUGAAAUUUAAUUUCAACAAGAUCGCUAAACACAAUGCAGCAUGCAACAUGAUUCUAUGACUUUCUACUCUCAAGUUUGAGUUAAAUAAAAGUAAUGAAACAGUUAAUCAAGACUCCUUUACUCACCAUACUCCCUCACUUAUAAGAACUCAUAACACUAAAUGAAUGAACUAUUACUUACCAACAUCAUCAUCAUCAUCCUUAUCCGUCUUUUCUCCUCUUGCCUAGAGUGCAUAGAAGCGAGCCUUUGCCUUUCAAACAUUAUGAGCAACUUUCUUACCCUCUCUUCCUCUAUCCGCAAUAGUAGGACAAUAUCUCACCUUAUGAUCAUCCGUUCCACAACUAAAGCAACCACUAGUACCGGAUUGACACUUCCCAUAGUGCCUUUUUCCACAAGUGACACAUGUAGGAUUUUCCUUUUGAGAACCACGUCCUCUUUCAAAUUUCACCUUAGCUCCUAGGUCCUUCUUGAGUUUGAGCCCUCUUCUUGGAACUAGGUUGAUUUUUUUCACUUGAGCCACUCCCUUUUAAGUUUCUAGCGAUCCUCUUAAGUUUGAACUCUUCAAUUGAUUUGGCAUACACCAUCAGUCUAAUAGAGUGAUAUCGUCAUGUACUAUGUCGUACAAUAGUCUUCCCUCACUAGAUCGGCAACACCCUUCACGAAUGUACACAUCUCAUUCCUCGGAUUAGACACAAAGGAUGGGACAAAUUUGGAAAGCAUAGUAAACUUCAAAGAGAUUAAUGAACUCAUCUACUUUAACUUCCCUCCUCUCACGGGGAAAGUACUUCCCAAGAAAAACUUCCUUAAAUUCCUCCCACUCAAUAGGUAGCGACUCAACUGUCCUAUUGCCUUUACAUUGUGUAUACCACACUUGAGAAAUAUCUUUCAAUUGAUACGAAUCCAGCUCCGCUUUCUCCCUAGAAGUCGCUCCCAUAACAUGCACUAUCUUAUACACCUAAUCAAUAAACUCUUGGGCAUCCUCUCCCACCUUAGAGCCAAUAAAUAUAGGAGGAUUCAUCCUCACAAAGUCUCUCAACCUAAAGGUCAUAGUUCUCUCCAUAAAAUUCAUCCUAGUCACCAUACUUAAAUUCAUUUGAGUAGUCACGACUCAGGCUAAGGGAAGUAGAGCCUCUCUAAUCUCUUUACUAGUCAAUUCCAGCGAAACCACUGAAGCAUCAUUAACUCCUUCCACAAUAAGGACUUGAUCACCUUGGAGAGGCACUUGACUACCUUAAGGAACUUGCUCAACAUGAGGAGGAAUCUCCUCAUUCACAUCAUUCUCCUCAACUCUCCUAGAAGGUGUCCUCCUCGUAUUCAUCUUCCUAAAAAUACAAGUAAAACCAUAAGAAAAGAGUACUCAUAAAAGUUUACUCUACAACAUGACAUAGGAGUAGAAAAGAAGGGAAACUCUAUCAUCCUAUAGCCUUAGGCCCAUAGAUGUGUUACGACUCACACCAAUGGUCAAGCCUUUACUAGACGUGGCUUUAUGAGACUUUUUGAUUUCUAAGACUAUUUUCAUAAACCUAUGCUCUGAUACCAAUCUUGUCACAUCUCGAAACCACUCAUCAGAAGAUAUGACAUCCUCAAAAUUCAACCAGCAUACUUGACCUCUCAGAGGUCUUGUACAAGCCCUUCUCGUAUAGUUCAUUGCAUAAACACGUAUGAAAAGUAGUACAUAUUUAAAACUUUUCACAAGGAUAUCAUAAAGCAUCUUUUCAUAUAAAAUCAUAGAAAUGCUAAGUCAUAACAUGUUCCAUCAUUAUACUCAAGAAUACUUGGGACACGACCCAUACAAUACUAAUAUAGAAAAUACUUAGUCUAUUACACUACUUUGAAAUAAAAGACAUAUAUGAACGCCGUCGAGUCAAUUGAGGACAUACUUCACUUCGCUUGAAUGAAUCUAGAAUCCAAAAUUUUCUUCACUAUCUUCUCACCUUUCACCUACACCUUUAGAGAUAAAUAAAUGUGUGGAGUUAGUACAAACAUUUGUACUAAGUAUGGCUUUAUGCAUAAAAUCAUGAAAAAUAUACAUUUUAUUAGGAACAUGCUCUUUUUCAUUGAAACAUCAUAUCAUAAUUAUAAUAAUAACAUUUAACAACUUAGAAACACAUAAGAAAUCACUUGGACCAUUUAUCACAUUUUUAGAAAUCUUUAAAGUGAACUAUGUUACUUCACAAUGACUAUUCCUGAAGGUUAUAGUGAAGUUUCUCAACUUCACAAGGAACUUUUUAUGGCAUACAAACCUCUCACUAGAACCUAUCUUAAGACUCAGUUAAGUAAGGCAAAGAGAAACCGCCCAUACACACACUCUAGGCACACCUAAAUAAUCCUUAAGACCAUCUAUAAUAAGAUCAUCACACACUCAAAAGACAUCAUACACAUGAACAUGACAUUCUUUUUCCAACUGCUAACAAAAGACUUACUAAGGGAAAUCAAGAAGACAACGUCCAUGAUUGACCUAUUCAAGAU